This 180-nucleotide microRNA precursor is filed under the name Oryza nivara. RNAcentral's name for it is "MIR812 microRNA precursor family". It matches the Rfam family "MIR812 microRNA precursor family", at positions 1 to 183 of the family's 205-position model. The record is from Rfam by way of RNAcentral. Lineage: Eukaryota; Viridiplantae; Streptophyta; Magnoliopsida; Poales; Poaceae.
CCAAAAUACAAUCAUAAGUUUUUACACCCAACUUUGAUCCUGUCUUAUUUGAAAAAAAUUAUAAAUAGUAUUUUUGUUGUUGUGAGAUGAUAAAAUAUUUACAUUACUUUACUCAUGACUUAUGUUUUCAAUUUUUUUCAAAAACUUUUUAAAUAAGACGGACGGUCAAAGUUGGGCUCC